This 461-nucleotide ribosomal RNA is filed under the name uncultured bacterium. RNAcentral's name for it is "bacterial SSU rRNA". It matches the Rfam family "Bacterial small subunit ribosomal RNA", at positions 329 to 803 of the family's 1533-position model. The record is from RNAcentral.
UGGCUAACUCCUACGGGAGGCAGCAGUGGGGAAUAUUGCACAAUGGGCGAAAGCCUGAUGCAGCGACGCCGCGUGAGGGAUGACGGCCUUCGGGUUGUAAACCUCUUUCAGCAGGGAAGAAGCGAAAGUGACGGUACCUGCAGAAGAAGCACCGGCUAACUACGUGCCAGCAGCCGCGGUAAUACGUAGGGUGCGAGCGUUGUCCGGAAUUAUUGGGCGUAAAGAGCUUGUAGGCGGUUUGUCGCGUCUGCCGUGAAAAUCCGGGGCUCAACCCCGGACUUGCGGUGGGUACGGGCAGACUAGAGUGUGGUAGGGGAGACUGGAAUUCCUGGUGUAGCGGUGAAAUGCGCAGAUAUCAGGAGGAACACCGAUGGCGAAGGCAGGUCUCUGGGCCACUACUGACGCUGAGAAGCGAAAGCGUGGGGAGCGAACAGGAUUAGAAACCCUGGUAGUCCAGCUGG